ACAUAGCAGGGGGUUGGAACUGGAUGAGCAUUGUGGUCCUUUUCAACCCAGGCCAUUCUAGGUUCUAUUCUAAGAUUCAAUUCACACAGUACUGAGAUUUUGGGGUGCUUGCCUCUCAGUGGAAUGCAUUAGGACCAUUGCAAGGCCCGUGCUGCACCCAUGGGUCUGCACAAUGCUCAGCCAGGAGCCAGACGUAAGCUAAGAGGUGACAGCUGCAGUUGGGAGAAGAAACACAGUGAGCCCUCCAAGUUUAUGUCAGUGAAUCAGAACAACAAAGUGCAAAGUAAUUGCUUCCAAGAAACCUCCCUUCAACCUGCAAUUGGAAAUGCUUUCCGUACCUUUGUUGCUCAACAGCAUACCAGCAUUCUCCAAGGGGAAUGGUUUUGUUUCUGUGAUUGGUGUGUAACAACAGCUUUGCUGCUGCUGCUGCUGCUGAUCCUGGGGGUUUUGGUCCAAAAGCAAUGAAAGCUCCAAAUAUGCCCAAGAUGAAGGUCUGGUCUCACUUGCUCCAUGGAUGUGAACUGACACAACAAGCUGCUGGCUUGUUGGAUCUUUUAUGGGCAGCUCUAUUAACGAAGGAGCGGAGAAAAUGAUAAAUGACACCUGGAGUUAGCCAGGGUAGAUUACUCACAGGCGCUGCGUGUAGCUGAUCUCAAAAAUAAAUUCCAGCUAAAUUCUUUAAAAACUUUAAGGAGGGGGAGAGUGGAGGUGAAACGAGUCAGUCAGCCCUUCAAAUAUGCACUCCCAGACUUUCCAGCCUUCAUCCAGCAGAAGUGAAGUCGGUCCUGUGCAUCCUCUGGCACAGUGCGGGAUGCAGCAGGUGAGAUGCCAGAAGCCAAACUCCAUCCCCUGCAUGGACAUCCAAAGGCCAGUAAAGCUCACAAGUUCAGUCCACAUUCGACUUGCAGCCGGUUCCACUUGGACAGAGGGUAAGACUUCAAAAAUCCAGCUCUGGAUAUGUGUUUAAUCAGGACAAAGCUUAAUUAGAGCCGUCUGGAAGGCUUUUUUUUUUCCCCUACAGUUCUCUUCUCACGCAAAACAGAGCUUCAGUCAGUGUGGAGGAUUAUGAGGAAUUUUAGAAACAGGGUGGAUGCUGUUGUCGAAAAUGCCUUCUUCAAACAAAUGCUCCUUUGGGGACUUUGAAGUGGUUGAGCUAUUUAUUCAUUUGACUGUCAAUGAAGCACUUUCACAGAAAGCUGCUCUAGAAAUGGAGUCUUUCCAGGCGUGGUGGGGUGAUGGAUUGCUGUUCUGUAUGGAAAUCAGUUAAAAUUUUUCAGUCUUCUAUUCAAACGGGAGACUUCUAUCACUGGCACAGCAGUUGAUCAAUUCACCAUCGUGCUUUAAACUCAACAACCUCCAGUAACCUAAUAAAGAUAUAUUUUAAAUAUAUAUGACCGGUUAUAUGUAAUUUAACAAAUAUAUUCCUCCUGUGCCUUCGCCUUACGUUACACAGAGGGCACUUUAACAGUUUGAGUGAUGUUGCUUUUAUGAUGCACAAGUCAUUUUACUGAACAGCAUGACAGAAGUUUGCUCAGGCAGGAAUUUCAUUAACUUCGGGGUCCUUGUUGCACUUAGUGACAUUGCUCUUGGCAUGCAAGAGUAAUGGGUUCCAGGGCCUGAAAUCUCCAUUAUUUUCCAUCCAGUUUAUUUAAAAACCAUUGGGUGGAUUACAAAAGGCUGCUAAACAAUGAUUAUUUGUUGCUGUGCCCAGAAGUUUGGCAUUGCAGGGUUCCCUGAGAAUGCUUUGGGGUGCUGCAGAAGGAAAUGCUGUAGAACAGUUCCUAGUCAUCAUGCUCUUUAUUUUUUGCUCUCAUAGGUUGAAACGUGGCUGCGCCUCUCCCCCUUCUAUACUUUCAGUAGAUGGAAACUGAACUCCAAACUGCCUUGGGCACUUGGAGUUGUGUCUUCAUGGACAAAGCAAAGAGGCUGGCUGCAGUGACGUGCAGCUUGUAAAAGCUCCCUGCUGUAGCAGUGUCACUUUCAGGCACAUGCAGCAGCCCAAGGCAGCCAACACACACCUAUUUGUUCAGCAAGCAUUAAAAAACAGACCCACCUUGGCCAGAUCUGCUCCCAGACCAUGGCCAUCUCAGCGUGUUUAUGGCUUCCACUUGUGGGCUGUUUGGGAUCAUUAAAUAAAUGUCACAGGAACUCUGGAGGUGGUAAGUAAUCAGAGCAGCCGGGAGAGCUGAAACAACUGCAAGGGCAAGAAAAAUAUUUUGCAAAGGAAACUUCACUGAACUCUUCCACAGAAGACAAAGGAGGUGAAAAGGAGCAACUUUCUGUUUCAUUUUGAAUGGAUAUUUUUCCACUCUCAUUGCUUUCCGGAAGACAAAAA
Molecule: non-coding RNA, 2335 nt
Organism: Meleagris gallopavo (turkey)
Lineage: Eukaryota; Metazoa; Chordata; Aves; Galliformes; Phasianidae
Source: RefSeq, a predicted model, not a curated record